Molecule: ribosomal RNA, 500 nt
Filed under: uncultured bacterium
Lineage: Bacteria
Description: partial 16S ribosomal RNA
Rfam family: Bacterial small subunit ribosomal RNA
Source: RNAcentral
AUUGAACGCUGGCGGCAUGCUUUACACAUGCAAGUCGAACGGUAACAGGGAGCUUGCUCCGCUGACGAGUGGCGAACGGGUGAGUAAUGCGUCGGAACGUGCCGAGUAGUGGGGGAUAACGCAUCGAAAGGUGUGCUAAUACCGCAUACGAACUGAGGUUGAAAGUGGGGGACCUUCGGGCCUCACGCUAUUCGAGCGGCCGACGUCUGAUUAGCUAGUUGGUGAGGUAAAGGCUCACCAAGGCGACGAUCAGUAGCGGGUCUGAGAGGAUGAUCCGCCACACUGGGACUGAGACACGGCCCAGACUCCUACGGGAGGCAGCAGUGGGGAAUUUUGGACAAUGGGCGCAAGCCUGAUCCAGCAAUGCCGCGUGCAGGAAGAAGGCCUUCGGGUUGUAAACUGCUUUUGUACGGAACGAAACGGUCCGGGUUAAUACCCUGGGCUAAUGACGGUACCGUAAGAAUAAGCACCGGCUAACUACGUGCCAGCCGCCGCGGUAA